This 520-nucleotide long non-coding RNA is filed under the name Elaeis guineensis (African oil palm). RNAcentral describes it as "long non-coding RNA (EGUI_LNC078836)". The record is from RNAcentral. Lineage: Eukaryota; Viridiplantae; Streptophyta; Magnoliopsida; Arecales; Arecaceae.
CAUGACCACCUCGAGCAGUCAUAAGGAAGUCUACCUUCUCAUCGAUGACUAGCUCGAUGCUGCAGUUGUGUGUCUAGUUCUUUGACCUGAGGUGCAUCGACGGUUCACCUUGAGUGUGUUAUAGUUUGACUACACCAUAACUCGAUCUCCUAGCCAUUCGAAACCCUGAGGUGUAUGUUGGCUGUAGCAUAUCCAUUGUAGGAACCGGAUUGCACCAAGAUGGGAUCUAUCAACCUCGGUAGAUGAGAGGAGUAGUCCUAUGAUGAUUGAAAGAUCGAGUCCUUAAGCCCAUGGCCAUGGCAGAGUGAAAUAAUGGAAAAGAGUUUUUCAUUGGGGUUUCACAUCGGACUCGGAUCGAUCGAUUGAUUCAUAUGACUGAUGUUGGGUUUGACGAGUUCACCUUAACCCUAAUUCAGUCGGGACUCAUGAUAGAGGAACUCAAUCAUGCAAGUAGUUGCACCAAGAGGUUCGUCUUCAGUUCUGAUGGGUUGCCACCAUAUACUGCUAGGUGUCACUGGUG